GAGUUUGAUCCUGGCUCAGAUUGAACGCUGGCGGUAGGCCUAACACAUGCAAGUCGAACGGUAACGGACCGCUGGGAUUCCUUCGGGAUGACCUUGGUGCCGACGAGUGGCGGACGGGUGAGUAACACGUAGGAAUCUGCCCAACAGAGGGGGAUAACCCGGAGAAAUCCGGGCUAAUACCGCAUACGCCCCAAGGGGGAAAGCGGGGGAUCUUCGGACCUCGUGCUGUUGGAGGAGCCUGCGUCGGAUUAGCUUGUUGGUGAGGUAAUGGCUCACCAAGGCAACGAUCCGUAGCUGGUCUGAGAGGAUGAUCAGCCACACUGGGACUGAGACACGGCCCAGACUCCUACGGGAGGCAGCAGUGGGGAAUAUUGCGCAAUGGGCGAAAGCCUGACGCAGCCAUGCCGCGUGUGUGAAGAAGGCCUUAGGGUUGUAAAGCACUUUCAAUUGGGAAGAAAAGUUUGUCGUUAAUAGCGCCAAGCUCUGACAUUACCUUUAGAAGAAGCACCGGCUAACUCCGUGCCAGCAGCCGCGGUAAUACGGAGGGUGCGAGCGUUAAUCGGAAUUACUGGGCGUAAAGCGCGCGUAGGCGGUUUGUUAAGUCAGCUGUGAAAGCCCCGGGCUCAACCUGGGAACUGCAGUUGAUACUGGCCGACUAGAGUACGAGAGAGGGAGGUAGAAUUCCAUGUGUAGCGGUGAAAUGCGUAGAUAUAUGGAGGAAUACCAGUGGCGAAGGCGGCCUCCUGGCUCGAUACUGACGCUGAGGUGCGAAAGCGUGGGGAUCAAACAGGAUUAGAUACCSUGGUAGUCCACGCCGUAAACGAUGUCUACUAGCCGUUGGGAGACUUGAUWUCUUAGUGGCGCAGCUAACGCAAUAAGUAGACCGCCUGGGGAGUACGGCCGCAAGGUUAAAACUCAAAUGAAUUGACGGGGGCCCGCACAAGCGGUGGAGCAUGUGGUUUAAUUCGAUGCAACGCGAAGAACCUUACCAGGUCUUGACAUCCUGCGAAUUUUCUAGAGAUAGAUUAGUGCCUUCGGGAACGCAGUGACAGGUGCUGCAUGGCUGUCGUCAGCUCGUGUCGUGAGAUGUUGGGUUAAGUCCCGUAACGAGCGCAACCCUUGUCCUUAGUUGCCAGCACAUAAUGGUGGGAACUCUAAGGAGACUGCCGGUGACAAACCGGAGGAAGGUGGGGACGACGUCAAGUCAUCAUGGCCCUUACGACCUGGGCUACACACGUGCUACAAUGGAACGCACAGAGGGCUGCAAAGGCGCGAGCUGGAGCGAAUCCCACAAAACGUUUCGUAGUCCGGAUUGGAGUCUGCAACUCGACUCCAUGAAGUCGGAAUCGCUAGUAAUCGUGAAUCAGAAUGUCACGGUGAAUACGUUCCCGGGCCUUGUACACACCGCCCGUCACACCAUGGGAGUGGGUUGCAAAAGAAGUGGGUAGACUAACCUUCGGGAGGUCGCUCACCACUUUGUGAUUCAUGACUGGGGUGAAGUCGUAACAAGGUAGCCCUAGGGGAACCUGGGGCUGGAUCACCUCCUUUCU
This 1550-nucleotide ribosomal RNA is filed under the name uncultured organism. RNAcentral describes it as "bacterial SSU rRNA". It matches the Rfam family "Bacterial small subunit ribosomal RNA". The record is from RNAcentral.